UGGGGAAUAUUGCACAAUGGAGGGAACUCUGAUGCAGCGACGCCGCGUGAACGAAGAAGGCUUUCGAGUCGUAAAGUUCUUUUAUAUGGGAAGAAAAUGACGGUACCAUAAGAAAAAGCCCCGGCUAACUACGUGCCAGCAGCCGCGGUAAUACGUAGGGGGCUAGCGUUGUCCGGAAUCACUGGGCGUAAAGGGUUCGCAGGCGGAAAUGCAAGUCAGGUGUAAAAGGCAGUAGCUUAACUACUGUAAGCAUUUGAAACUGCAUAUCUUGAGAAGAGUAGAGGUAAGUGGAAUUUUUAGUGUAGCGGUGAAAUGCGUAGAUAUUAAAAAGAAUACCGGUGGCGAAGGCGGCUUACUGGGCUCAUUCUGACGCUGAGGAACGAAAGCGUGGGUAGCAAACAGG
Molecule: ribosomal RNA, 403 nt
Filed under: bacterium
Lineage: Bacteria
Description: partial 16S ribosomal RNA
Rfam family: Bacterial small subunit ribosomal RNA
Source: RNAcentral